GACAGAGGAGCCAAGCGUUGUCCGGAUUGACUGGGCGUAAAGCGCACGCAGGCGGAACGGCGCGUGGGGUGUGAAAGCUGGCGGCUUAACUGCCAGUCGCCAUCCCAUACGGCCAUUCUGGAGCCUUGCAGAGGGCAGUGGAAUUGCCGGUGUAGUGGUGAAAUGCGUAGAUAUCGGGAGGAACACCAGUGGCGAAGGCGGUUGCCUGGAGCUUUGCUGACGCUGAGGCGCGAAAGCGUGGGGAGCGAUCCGG
Molecule: ribosomal RNA, 253 nt
Filed under: uncultured bacterium
Lineage: Bacteria
Description: partial 16S ribosomal RNA
Rfam family: Bacterial small subunit ribosomal RNA
Source: RNAcentral